UAGUCCGCUCAGCCAUCUCUCC
Molecule: transfer RNA, 22 nt
Filed under: Juniperus osteosperma
Lineage: Eukaryota; Viridiplantae; Streptophyta; Pinopsida; Cupressales; Cupressaceae
Description: partial tRNA-Ser
Source: RNAcentral